GGGCCACUAGCUCAGCUUGGUUAGAGCGUUCGGCUGAUAACCGGAAGGUCUGGAGUUCAAAUCUCCGGUGGCCCA
Molecule: transfer RNA, 75 nt
Filed under: Candidatus Heimdallarchaeota archaeon LC_2
Lineage: Archaea; Promethearchaeati; Candidatus Heimdallarchaeota
Also listed under: 1 other name
Description: tRNA-Ile
Rfam family: tRNA
About the family: Transfer RNA (tRNA) molecules are approximately 80 nucleotides in length. Their secondary structure includes four short double-helical elements and three loops (D, anti-codon, and T loops).
Source: RNAcentral